Molecule: non-coding RNA, 7341 nt
Organism: Sus scrofa (pig)
Lineage: Eukaryota; Metazoa; Chordata; Mammalia; Artiodactyla; Suidae
Source: RefSeq, a predicted model, not a curated record
AGAGGGGGGAAGCGCUUCCGGGGUCAGGGGUGUUCUGGCUCGCCCCGCCCCGGCGCCGGUGCCCUGCUGGAAGGCCUGGCUCUCCCGGAAGUGGCCCGGGCCUCUCUCUGUUGGGGUCCCCACCUCCCUGCUGCUGCUGCUGCUGCGGGCCGCAGGGGGGGCAGCGAUGGCGGAGGCGGCGCUGCUGCUGCUGCCAGAGGCGGCAGCGGAGCGGGAUGCACGGGAGAAGCUGGCCCUCUGGGAUGGAAGACUGGACACUACGGCGCCGCUGACGGACCGGCAGACAGACUCGGUGCUGGAGCUGAAGGCGGCGGCCGAGGACCUGCCCGUGCCGACCGAGCUCCCAAUUGAAGACUUGUGCAGUUUAACAACCCACUCGCUGCCCAUUGCACAGACUUCAGUAGUGCCCGAAUCUACAGAAGACAUUCUCUUGAAAGGAUUUGCCUCCUUAGAAAUGAAAGACGAAAGAAUCGAAACUGCACAGCAGUUUUUCUCAUGGUUUGCAAAGCUACAAACUCAGAUGGAUCAGGAUGAAGAAAGUAAAUAUAGGAGCAGUGUGAUGCUAUAUUGAAUGACGUCAACAGUGCUCUUCAGCAUCUGGAAUCAUUGCGGAAACAGUAUCUUUUUGUGUCCAAUAAGACAGGAGCCCUCCACGAAGCCUGUGAACAGCUGCUGAAAGAACAGUCCGAACUUGUUGAGCUGGCUGAAAACAUUCAACAAAAGCUUUCCUAUUUUAAUGAAUUGGAAACUAUUAACACAAAAUUGAAUUCUCCCACAUUGUCUGUGAAUAGUGAAGGAUUUAUACCUAUGCUGGCCAAGUUAGAUGAUUGUAUAACAUACAUAUCAUCUCAUCCAAAUUUUAAAGAUUAUCCUAUAUAUUUACUGAAGUUUAAGCAAUGCCUUUCUAAAGCUUUGCAACUCAUGAAGACAUACACUGUGAAUACACUACAGAACCUCACAAAUCAGUUAUUAAAAAGGGAUCCUUCAUCUGUACCGAAUGCAGACAAUGCCUUCACACUGUUUUAUGUGAAAUUUCGAGCUGCUGCCCCCAAAGUCAGAACUCUCAUUGAACAAAUAGAACAACGAUCUGAAAAAAUACCUGAAUACCAGCAACUGCUUAACGACAUUCACCAGUGUUACCUUGAUCAGCGGGAGCUCCUCUUGGGUCCUAGUAUUACUUGCACUGUAACAGAGUUAACCAGCCAGAAUAAUAGAGAUCACUGUGCCUUGAUUCGCAGUGGCUGUGCCUUUAUGGUUCAUGUCUGCCAGGAUGAGCAUCAGCUUUACAAUGAAUUUUUCACAAAACCAACAUCAAAAUUAGAUGAACUUUUGGAGAAACUGUGUAUGUCAUUGUAUGAUGUCUUCAGGCCGCUCAUCAUUCAUGUUAUUCACUUAGAAACUCUAUCGGAACUUUGCGGGAUUCUGAAAAAUGAGGUGCUUGAAGAUCACGUACAGAACAAUGCUGAGCAGCUCGGGGCAUUUGCAGCUGGAGUGAAGCAGAUGUUGGAAGAUGUUCAAGAGCGACUUGUCUACCGAACCCACAUCUACAUUCAGACAGACAUCACGGGCUACAAACCCGCUCCUGGAGAUCUGGCCUAUCCUGAUAAGUUAGUCAUGAUGGAGCAAAUUGCCCAGAGUUUAAAAGAUGAGCAAAAGAAGGUACCUUUAGAAGCUUUGUUUUCAGACGUUCGGUUAGAAGAAGCAGAACCUCGUAAUAGUCUAACAAAAUCUGGUAUGUUACAGCAUUUUUUGUUUGUUUUGUCUUUUUAGGGCUGCACCCGUGGCAUAUGGAGGUUCCCAGGCUAGGGGUCAAAUCAGAGCUGUAGCUGCCAGCCUACACCACAGCCACAGUCAUGUCAGAUCCCAGGCACCUCUUCGACCUACACCACAACUCGUGCCAGUGCCAGAUCCUUAGCCCAACUGAGCAAGGCCACGGAUCGAGCCUCUGUCCUCAUGGAUACUAGUUAGAUUCCUUUCCACUGAGCCACGACAGCAUUUUAACUUUUAUUCAUUCAUUUAAUUAACGUUUUUUGAAGAUUGGCAUGUCUCAGGCAUGAAAAACAGCUUGUGUCUUUGAGGAGCCCACACUUCAGUGGGGGGAGAUUGGCAAGCCACGGGUGUAAUUCAGGGGUGACACGUGUGCACAGGGCCCUCUUGGACCGUGGAUGAAGGGCGUCACAACUUUAAAGGCAGCUGAGCUUUGUGUGCAGGAAGGCAGGUUCAGUGAGAGGUAUGGAAUCUGAAAGCUGUGGUGUGAUGACUAUGAGAGAGCCGGCUGAAAUAGGGUUGUUUGAGAUAGAAUACCGUGGAGGAAGGCAUAAAGGAGUGGGGGACCAUGGUUGCUUUGGGGAAGUCAGGUGGUUUGGGGUGUUUGGGCACAGGUUAUUUGUAGGGAAAGAGCAGGUAGAACAGGCCUGACUGUGAUAGGUGUCAAGGGUAACUCCUAGGGACUUCGAUAUUCUAGCUAAUUGUACCAUCAGAUUUGCAUGUUGCAAAUGGAUUGAGUGCCUGGGACUGGGAUAAAAAAAUUGACGGAAGUGUAUAGGAUGGCUUGGACUAGGAUGCAUGUUAUAUAAGGAGCAAAACUGUUCAAGAAGCACCCUGGAAACCUCAUGCGUUAUCUGGACAGCAAGCUAGGUGGGAAGUUGGGCAUCCCUCUCCUCACCCUCAGUUGUAAGGGUGACACCAAAACUCCGCUCCCCAUGGGACUGACCGGGAGUCGGUGGUAAUCCAACUCCAUGAGCUUUAAAGAGCCCAGGCGCCCCCACAUCUCUAGGCUAGUGCAUCGUCAGGUUAUUCUGAGUCAGCUCCAUAUAGUUUAUACCCCAAUUCCAGAGGGCCAGCCAGCCUCGGUGGUCCCCAUCUGAUAAAGCCGCUUUAUCAUGCUUGCCCUGUAGCAAGAGAAACACACAGGGAGUUGAAAUUUCCUCCUCUGAAAUAGAACCCAUGCCGUGACCUAUAUACAUCUUAGUUCAACUCCUAGUUAAGGCCUCUUAAACCCUGGCCUUGUACGUUUCCCCUUUCCUUAGUAAAGCCUCUUUCUUUAACCCGUGGCUAGCAUUACAUUGAGGUAUUGUUGGUAGAACAGUAGGGACUGGUUAGGAAGUGGUUGUGUUUUUCUAUUUGAAAGGUAGAUGUGGUUUGAACCAGCGCGUUGUUGGGGGCGGGGGAAGGAGAGAAGUGUGUAGAUGAGGGGUAUGGUUAGGCGUUUGAAUCCAUAGAGUUUGAGAACACCCUGGAUGUGGGGUUAAAGGAGAUCGAGUAAGGUCCACGUGCAACAGCGGAGAGGUGGGUAUUAAAUGGAUCUGGAGUUACGCUGUGCAGCGUGGUGGCCAUCGGGCAUGUGAAAUGUGGCUACUCCGAAUGCGCCGUGAGUGUACAUACCUACCAGAUUUCAAAGACUUCAUAUGAAAUAAAGAAUGGAAAUUAUCUUAUUAGUAAUUUUUAUAUUGAUCAUAUGUUAAAGUAAUGAUGUUUUGUCUAUUGGCUUAAUAAAAUAUAUUAAAAUUAAUUUCACUGAGUUUUUAAAGAAAAUUUUUUUUUUCCAUUUUUAAUGUGGCAUGUUUUUGUUUGUUUGUUUGUUUUGCUUUUUAGGGCCAUGCUCAUGGGAUAUAGAAGUUCCCAGGCUAGAGGCUGAAUUGGAGCUGCAGCUGCAGGCCUGUGCCACAGCCACAGCAAUGUAGGAUCCAAGCUGCAUAUGCAGCCUACACCACAGCUCACAGCAACACGGGAUCCUUAACCCACUGAGCAAAGCCAGGGAUCGAACCCGCAUCCUCAUGGUUCCUAGUUGGAUUCGUUUCCGCUGCACCACAACGGGAACUCCUAAUGUGGCGUUUUUAAUGUCUCACGUUGAUGAUUCACAUACUCCUCCAUUUGGAGAGCACUGCUCUUGGGCCAUAAAGAGGAGGACUGGUUUAGAGAGAAAGACUGAGGAGUAGUUGACGCUCUGGGCUUGUAUAAGGUCACCCAGGACAGAGAGUUAGAGGGACAGUGGCAGAAGUCUGGGGAGAGCAUCUGAGCAGAUGCAGGUCGAGGCAGAGGAGAGGAGCCCUUUCUGAUCUGUGGAGGGGAGGGACACAGCUCUGGCCACCUGGACGCUGGACGCACUACGGAGGCCUCUUAAGUGGCGCAUGGAAGGCAGGCCAUCAGGCCAGCCAGCUUUGGUUGAUCUUCCUGUUUACUUUACUUUGUUUUCUCGUCCCUCCCUGCCUGCGCCCCCCCCCCCCUUGUUGCCACUUGACUGCAUCUGGCUCUGUCUCCCUUUUCUUGGCCGCACUGUAUUCUACAGUGUGUGUAUACGGCUCAUGCAGUCUAUAAAGAUGAUUGAUCACAGUUUAGCGAAAGCAGCUUGGGCCGAGUGUGUGAGGCUGGCGUGUACCCACGUGUGCAUUCAUGUGCGCUCUCCCUCCAUGUGCGAAACCUCACUGAUGGCAGUUGCCUCGGGCGUUCUCGAUUCAAGACGAGGCUGGAAAAAACGGAUGCCUCCAGCCAGUGAGAGCUAACGAGAACCAACAGGCCAUCACUGCUGUGCAAAUGGACAGACCUCUACCUGUGUGACGUCCUCUUUUCCAUUUGGGCUUUUAGGUUCAACCGACUCUCUCAAUCCUAGACCACAGACCACAAUUUCUCCAGCAGAUCUUCAUGGCAUGUGGUAUCCUACAGUUCGACGAACUCUCGUCUGUCUCUCCAAAUUGUACAGAUGCAUAGAUAGGGCAGUGUUCCAAGGAUUAUCACAGGAGGCCUUGUCUGCCUGCAUUCAGUCCUUACUUGGAGCAUCAGAGUCUAUCAGCAAAAACAAGACUCAGAUUGAUGGACAGCUUUUCUUAAUAAAGCACCUUUUGAUUCUUCGUGAACAAAUCGCUCCAUUUCACACUGAAUUCACCAUUAAGGAAAUUUCCCUGGACCUCAAGAAAACUAGAGAUGCAGCAUUUAAAAUCCUGAAUCCUAUGACUGUUCCAAGAUUUUUUAGGCUGAAUAGCAACAAUGCCUUGAUAGAGUUCUUGUUGGAGGGUACUCCUGAGAUACGAGAGCAUUAUCUCGACUCUAAGAAAGACGUGGACCGUCACCUGAAGGCAGCCUGCGAGCAGUUUAUCCAGCAACAGUCCAAGCUGUUUGUAGAGCCGCUGGAGGAGUUCCUGACAAAGGUUUCGGCAUUAAAAGCAAUGGCCAGUCAGGGAGGACCCAAGUACACGCUCUGUCAGCAGCCUUGGGCACAACCAGCAAAGGUCAGUGACCUUGUGGCAAGUGCCUACAAGACAAUAAAAGCGAAGCUGCCCCUGACCUUGAGAAGCAUGUCACUGUACCUAUCCAAUAAAGAUACCGAGUUCAUCUUGUUUAAACCUGUUAGGAAUAAUAUUCAGCAAGUCUUCCAGAAGUUCCACGCGUUGUUAAAGGAGGAGUUCAGCCCUGAAGACGCCCAGAUCAUUGCGUGUCCUUCUAUGGAGCAGCUGAACCUCCUACUGUCAGUUUCUAAAUAACCAGCCGUCGGGGCGCGCGUGGAGAAGGCCUGUGCAUCCUGCAGGGCGCCGGACAAGUGUACAGGGCUGACUCGAGAACCACACGGUGGCUGCUCCGUGCUGACCGCAGACUGGAAUGGAAGCCAAGUGAGAAACGAUUGGGGUUUCCCUUUUAAGAAACAUCCAAAUGCCAAAGAUUAAUCUGCGAGCGCUGAUAACUGCCUCAUUUAAAUGGUCACGAGCAGUGUAAGUUUUUAAGAGGAAGCUAUGGUGGGCACGCCGGGUGAAAUGGUUCUUAGCAAAAAAAUGUGCAAUGAAAAUAGGUUACAAUAAAUAGUGCAAAAAACUUUACAGAAAUACAGCUCGUUAGAAAGCUUCUGAGUAUGGUUCGUUAAAGCGUGAAACACUGCAGUCCUUUUAACCACGGGGCAUUCCGCAGUGACCGGUUCUUUUGACUUCCAGAAACAUUCUUCCUCCACUCUCUUUAAUGUGAUGUGUCUCCUGUCACUUUGAAGCUUAGUUUGGAGUAGAUUGGAUGCUUCUGAGAACACGUUCUGCUUUCCGGGGAGCUGAGGGUCUUCUCUUUCUGUGUUCGAUGUGAGUAGUUGCGGGCUGCAAGGACCUCAGGGCAGGUCCCGGGAUCUGUCGGAGGCGGAUGGCUUAGGUGCAGAGCGUUCAGUGGCAGGCGGGGAGCUGCAGCCUCUGGGUGGCGGAUACGUGCCCUGUCCUUCAGGAGAAUCUGGGGGGUACCGUUUGUGAGGCGGGAGUACCACUUAAGGCGCCUCAGUCUGGCCCAGAAGGGAGGCAGGAAGCCUGAUGAGCCGUGUGUCCCAGGCAUGAAAGCGAGGGCUCCCAGCUCCCUGCCCACCGCCUUUGCUCUCCUGGUGCUUUGAAAAGCGCACCCUUUCAUGUCCUGCGUAUUCGCUGGGGCGCUGCCUCGGGGCUCCCCAGCUCUGCCACGGCAGCGGGACACAUUUCCCAACAAAGACAAGCGAGGCGUGGACCUCCCAUCCCUUAACGUUGGCCACACGAUAGCAGGGACGGUCCAGUACAUUAGACGCAUCCCCGAGCUCUGCAGAUGCACUGGCUUUGUCUUCGAUGUUAGAGUAAAUGGCACCUGCUUUUUGGUUCACAAGGAAUUUCGAGUUAUUCAGACACUAGUUUAGAGAUGGAACCCUGGCCGACAAGGGCCCUGGGAUGUAGCCAGCAGACCCCAUUCUGCGUGACUGGCAUUUCGACACCCGCCACGUGUACAUAGGUUCCAUAUCGUCACGUCCGUCAUUUUCAACAGGUCACUUGUUUUUCAGCUCCGUUUAACUUGGUGGUGGAUGUUGCUCGCUAGAGCUUAAGAGUCUCUACUUCGGGGGAGGUGGAAGGUAAAGAGGGUCCAUGUUCAUUCUUGGAGAGGAAAUGAAUGAAUUAGGAACGUUAUAUGUACUUCCACUUACUAUUUUAAAUAUACGUUUAAUGAAAUAAACUGUAAGAUACCCGCUUUUGUAUAUUCUGUGUACAUUUGAUUUUUAAAUAGCCUUUCCAAAGAAAUGAGGGCAUGAUUAUUGUAUAAUACUGUGACAGAUUUAAUUUGAUGUACAGAGCAGAGUGUGUUCUUAAGGAUAAAAAUAUUUCACAGCACUCGUUCUUGUGCUUUGAAUCUUUUAUUUCCGAAACACUCAAACACCUUACAAAAGUACUGAGUAGAUAGUAGUGAUCCAAUUUGUUUGCUAAAUGAUUGUUUAAAUCUGUACAGUUUCAAGUGUUUACUUAUACAAAGAGUGUACAUACUUUCAAAUAAUUAAUUUAAAAUGCUUUAUAUUAUUUGGCUAGAAAUUGCUGUUUUUAAUAAAUGUGAAUUUUUUUAAAAAUAAAGAUUUUUGCUUCCUACUUU